UACAGAGGGUGCGAGCGUUGUUCGGAAUUAUUGGGCGUAAAGGGCGCGUAGGCGGUGCGGUAAGUCACCUGUGAAAUCUCCUGGCUCAACUGGGAGCUUGCAGGCGAAACUGCCGUGCUGGAGUGUGGGAGAGGUGCGUGGAAUUCCUGGUGUAGCGGUGAAAUGCGCAGAUAUCAGGAGGAACACCGGUGGCGAAGGCGGGUCUCUGGGCCGAUAUUGACGCUGAGGAGCGAAAGCGUGGGGAGCGAACAGG
This 253-nucleotide ribosomal RNA is filed under the name uncultured bacterium. RNAcentral's name for it is "partial 16S ribosomal RNA". It matches the Rfam family "Bacterial small subunit ribosomal RNA", at positions 524 to 776 of the family's 1533-position model. The record is from RNAcentral.